AUGUUGUGGUGGAAAAAACUUAUAAUGUGAGCCAUGUAGCGUAUAGCAUAGUCUAUGUAGUGUGUGUAGUGUGUGUGUAUGCAAAUUUUCAUGUAGCAUAGGCUACAUGUGACUUAAACUAGUUUCAUGAGCUACAUAGCGUUAAGGCUAAGCUACACUAAGCUACUUAGCAUAAGCUAUACACUACAUAGCAGCGGAGUUAUUUAAACACCAGGUAUAACUGAUAUUGACAUUUUUUAUUACCUAGGAAUGAACUGGUGCAAAAGACUACAACUUUCUGUGGGAAUCUUAUCAAGAUAAAAUUGCUACGGGGAUUGAGCUGCACUCAAUGGUGGUUUUUAAAGUUGGGGCCCCACGUAAUUGUACCGCCUUGAAGAAAGUGAGAUCAAGUGGUAACCAACUGACCUUUCACCUAUAAUGGAAGUCUGUGAUGAGUGUUUCAAUCUAGAUUGUGUUUUCCCCCCUUUUUCCUGUAUGUCCAUCUAGCUGUGUCCUGCAAUCCGUGGACUUCUAAGUGCACUAGAAAAUAUAUGACAUUUUAGCAAUUCAAUUAGGAUAUGAAAGCGACAUGCGUGGACCUUCAGGCAGGCAUGUUGGGUUCUGAGUGCAUGACACAUCAUUCUCAUUUCUUUGGUAUGACUUUUGGAACAAACAAAGCGUGUGUACUUUAUAAUCGGGUCUGACUCGUCGAUCUCUAGCUUUGGUGUUGGAUCUCCACUGUCUUCCAGUUUCGCUUGAUAUGAGUGGAAGUGGAAGUGAACUAACUUGUUGCCAUGGGCAUUUGGCCUCCAAUUCUCUUAGUCAUCUUCCACUCACAACUAACUUGUAAAUCUCAUGUCAUCACAUCAUCAAUCAAUUUCUCACUAUCAAGUCCAAAAACUGUUUGUUCAUCUUUAGACUCUACGAGUGGACCAUAAAUUAAUGUUCUUGGUCAUUGCACAAUCAUAACCAUUUCAAAAAGAUGUUGAACGAAUAUCAAUGACUUGAUUUCCAUGAUUUUUGUACUCCCUUUUCUUAAAUGGUUAUGAUUCUCCUAUCACUGCGGUCUUUUUUAACAUGACCCAUUCGUGUUUGUCACUAAUGAAUGAACGGUUUGGAUCAUCAUGCAUAUAUGCCAUAUGUACAGUACAGAAAGUGGGAGAUUGAAAUUAGGUCUUGCAUUGGCUAACCUUCACUAUCUACUGGAUAGAGACUGAUUCCUAAUGCCAAAAUAAUGAGAUUGGCUGAUGGCCUUUUAUGUUCAAUCACAGAAUGUUUUAGAGACCCACAUCAUUAGCUAAUUUUAACUUCAUUGAUGCGUGGUCUAUCAAAGGAGAGUGAUCUUUGGUGGGCCAUGUCUAUUUUAUUCUUCCAGUACCUUAUUUUCUGUUUGCAACCAAUGCAUAUAAAUGUUGUUUUGUCACCCUUCUGUUUGAGCUAUUAGAUUACAGAUUUCUCCAGACAAAGCUUCAAUCUCCUUAACUUUCAGGUAUAUCUUGGUUAUUAUCAUCCCUUACCAGCGUGAAGGUUGAAAGCACAUUGCAGAUCUCGGAGCAUUGUCAACAAAUGUGUUUGUUCAACACUUGCACCUUCUGGAGCACAUGUGAGAUCAUCCAAGCCUCUCAUCAGGUGCGGGACAGUCAUCUAACUUGAUUGGUUUGUUAAUCUCGACUACUGUUAAUUUCUUUUAAGACAUGAGCGGCCCACCUCAUGAACAGACUGGCCCCCACUCCCUAAUAGUUCACUUAGUGGUUCACAUCCAUUGGAUUCUCAUACUGAAUGUGCGAGAUUUGGCUUUCAAUCUCACCACCGGCUCAGAUUCUUUGGUCUUGCUCUUUGGUGUUAGGUCCAAGUGUCAAUCAAAUGGUCAUAGAUUACCUCAUCCAAAGGGCAUGCUUGCUGAUAAUUAGCUUGCUUGUGGGCCCCAUCACAAUGGCUCUUGGUCACAGUUAUUUAACUCAUGCUCUUCUUCUUUCGGGCCCCAUCGAAAUCCUUCUAGAUUCCGCGUAAGUUUGCAAAGAACAGAGCAGCAUGUACUGGAGCUAUGUAUCUAGUGCUAUACAUCUUUUCUGUUUCUUAUGUUGGCUUCAGGGAGACAUUUGAUGCUCUGGCAGUCUGAUGUUGAUGCACAUGCUCACAAAUUGUAGACUUCUUAAACCAAACCGUCCAAUUUUAGGACCCAAUGAUCGAAAUACCAUUACCUUUCAUUAAUGUGCCUUUGGUGUGUGUGUGUGGAAUUAGGACUUGGUUUUCAUUUCGUCCUGUCAAGUCAUAUGUAGUUUACGGGCCAUCUAAGUUGGGACCCACAUAUUCUAUUGUGCUUGUGAAAUUCUUUAGUGGCUGUGUAUCAACCAUCAAAGUCUGGCAGAGUAUCAGAGUUUUUCUUGCAUGGUUUUGAUAGUGGUUGGAGAGCUAGUGGUGGCUUUUCCUCUUGUUGGAGGUGAGUGCUAUUCUUGAUAAAAAGUAGUUAGGCACUUCCAAUUCA
This is a long non-coding RNA of Magnolia sinica, 2464 nucleotides long. RefSeq lists it as uncharacterized. The record is from RefSeq and is a predicted model, not a curated record. The transcript is spliced from 2 exons. NCBI's taxonomy places the organism in Eukaryota, Viridiplantae, Streptophyta, Magnoliopsida, Magnoliales, Magnoliaceae.